This 277-nucleotide ribosomal RNA is filed under the name uncultured bacterium. RNAcentral's name for it is "partial 16S ribosomal RNA". It matches the Rfam family "Bacterial small subunit ribosomal RNA", at positions 32 to 319 of the family's 1533-position model. The record is from RNAcentral.
AAUCAACGCUGGCGGCGUGCCUAACACAUGCAAGUCGAACGAGAAAGUGGAGCAAUCCAUGAGUAAAGUGGCGCACGGGUGAGUAACACGUGACUAACCUACCCUUGAGUGGGGGAUAACUGAGGGAAACCUUAGCUAAUACCGCAUAAUACCUACGGGUCAAAGGAGCAAUUCGCUUUAGGAGGGGGUCGCGGUCGAUUAGUUAGUUGGCAGGGUAAUGGCCUACCAAGACUGUGAUCGAUAUCCGGCCUGAGAGGGCGCACGGACACACUGGAAC